AGUUUGAUCCUGGCUCAGAGUGAACGCUGGCGGCAGGCCUAAUACAUGCAAGUCGAACGGCAGCACAGCAGAGCUUGCUCUGUGGGUGGCGAGUGGCGGACGGGUGAGGAAUACAUGGGAAUCUGCCCAGUCGUGGGGAUAACGUAGGGAAACUUACGCUAAUACCGCAUGCGCCCUUCGGGGGAAAGCCGGGGACCUUCGGGCCUGGCGCGAUUGGAUGAGCCCAUGUCGGAUUAGCUAGUUGGCGGGGUAAUGGCCCACCAAGGCGACGAUCCGUAGCUGGUCUGAGAGGAUGAUCAGCCACACUGGAACUGAGACACGGUCCAGACUCCUACGGGAGGCAGCAGUAGGGAAUAUUGGACAAUGGGCGCAAGCCUGAUCCAGCCAUGCCGCGUGAGUGAAGAAGGCCCUCGGGUUGUAAAGCUCUUUUGUCCGGAAAGAAAAGCGCCGGGUUAAUACCCUGGUGUCCUGACGGUACCGGAAGAAUAAGCACCGGCUAACUUCGUG
RNAcentral lists this ribosomal RNA (507 nucleotides) under uncultured bacterium. RNAcentral describes it as "bacterial SSU rRNA". It matches the Rfam family "Bacterial small subunit ribosomal RNA", at positions 10 to 507 of the family's 1533-position model. The record is from RNAcentral.